GAUGAAGAACGCAGCGAAAUGCGAUAAGUAAUGUGAAUUGCAGAAUUCAGUGAAUCAUCGAAUCUUUGAACGCACCUUGCGCCCUUUGGCCAUUCCGAAGGGCAUGCCUGUUUGAGUAUCAUGAACACCUCAACUCUCAUGGCUCGCCAUGAUGAGCUUGGACUUUGGGGGUCUUGCUGGCCUGUGGUCGGCUCCUCUCAAAUGGAUCAGCUUGCCAGUGUUUGGUGGCAUCACAGGUGUGAUAACUAUCUGCGCUUGUGGUUUUCCAUCAGAUAACCUUCAGUGAUGGAGGUUCGCUGGAGCUCAUAAACGUCUCCCCUAAGCGGGGACAGCCCUUUGAAUGUUUGAUCUCAAAUCAGGUAGGACUACCCGCUGAACUUAAGCAUAUCAAAGCGGAGGA
Molecule: unclassified non-coding RNA, 400 nt
Filed under: soil metagenome
Description: partial contains 5.8S ribosomal RNA, internal transcribed spacer 2, and large subunit ribosomal RNA
Rfam family: 5.8S ribosomal RNA (bases 1-121)
Source: RNAcentral